Molecule: ribosomal RNA, 112 nt
Filed under: uncultured bacterium
Lineage: Bacteria
Description: partial 16S ribosomal RNA
Rfam family: Bacterial small subunit ribosomal RNA
Source: RNAcentral
ACGCCGCGUGAGUGAUGAAGGAAUUCGUUUCGUAAAACUCUGUUCUAUGGGAAGAAAAGGACUGUACCAUAGGAGAAAGCUCCGGCUAAAUACGUGCCAGCAGCCGCGGUAA